CCUACGGGAGGCAGCAGUGAGGAAUAUUGGACAAUGGGCGCAAGCCUGAACCAGCAAAGCCGCGUGAAGGAUGACUGCCCUCCGGUUUGUAAACUUCUUUUAUAAAGGAGUAAAGUGAGGCACGUGUGCCUUUUAGUCAGUACUUUAUGCAUAAGAGUAGGCUAAGUCCGUGCCAGCAGCCGCGGUAAUACGGAGGAUCCGGGCGUUAUCCGGUUUUAGUGGGUUUAAAGGGUGCGUAGGUGGGUUAUUAAGUCAGUUGUUAAAGUUAGCGGCUUAACCGUAAGAAUGCAAUUGAUACUGGCAGACUUGAGUACAGGUGAGGUAAGCGGAAUUCGUGGUGUAGCGGUGAAAUGCGUAGAUAUCAGGAAGAACUCCGAUGGCGAAGGCAGCUUACUGAACUGCCACUGACACUGAGGCUUGAGAGUGUGGGGAGCAAACAGGAUUAGAUACCCUAGUAGUC
RNAcentral lists this ribosomal RNA (460 nucleotides) under uncultured bacterium. RNAcentral's name for it is "partial 16S ribosomal RNA". It matches the Rfam family "Bacterial small subunit ribosomal RNA", at positions 338 to 795 of the family's 1533-position model. The record is from RNAcentral.